This is a long non-coding RNA of Diprion similis, 246 nucleotides long. RefSeq lists it as uncharacterized. Lineage: Eukaryota; Metazoa; Arthropoda; Insecta; Hymenoptera; Diprionidae. The record is from RefSeq and is a predicted model, not a curated record. The transcript has 3 exons.
UGGUUACCCAUGAUGGUAGUUAGUAGUGCUCGUGAUGGUCGCUGAGUACUCUGAGCACCACCACGAAGGGUCAAAUCGCUCCAGGAUUCUUCGGCAGCUUUAAGGUCAGCCGGUGCUGUAGUUUCGGCUCUUAUCUGCUGAAGUUUCAACAAGCCAGACUUCGCGGAUCUGAUAACGCUUCUGACGUUGUGGUACAUCGAUGAACCAGAGCGUCGCGUCCAUCCAACAUCAUUUCGGAUAGCGUGC